Molecule: RNA transcript, 1382 nt
Organism: Zingiber officinale
Lineage: Eukaryota; Viridiplantae; Streptophyta; Magnoliopsida; Zingiberales; Zingiberaceae
Gene name: N-acylphosphatidylethanolamine synthase-like
Exons: 6
Source: RefSeq, a predicted model, not a curated record
AGCCCUAGUCUAAUUCUUAGCUGAAUAGCUUGAACCUCCCGACGCCCAGCGAACACCGCAGCCGUCGUGGUCAAGAGGAGACUUCCGAGUCGACCGACCUCCUUCUCCCUGUAGAUCGAGGGUCGCCAGCGACGGACGAUCGAGCUCGGCCGCGGGAUGGGCGGAGGAAGGAGGAGGAUAAUGGAGUGGGCGGGGCGGGCGGAGCACCUGGGCGGGAUCCCGCGGGCGCUGACAAUCUUCGCCGUGGGAGCCUUCGCAAAGACCGUCACUUGCUUCCUCAACUCCACCUCCGUACACAACCCUCAAACACUCAUCCGCCUCGUCAAAUCCCGCCCUACCGGCGUGCCCCUCCUCACCGUCAGCAACCACAUGUCAACAUUGGAUGACCCACUUAUAUGGGGUUUUAAGGGUUUCCCAACUAUGGAUGCAAAACUUGCAAGGUGGGUUCUGGCAGCAGAGGACAUAUGCUUCAAAAAUAAACUUCUCUCCUACAUGUUUCGCAUUGGAAAAUGCAUACCAAUAAACAGGGGUGGAGGAAUUUAUCAAGAACAUAUGAAUGAAGCUCUUGAAGUGUUAAGUCAUGGAGGUUGGUUGCAUACAUAUCCUGAAGGAAAAGUGUCCCAACUUAGUGCUCCUAUUAAGCGUUUGAAAUGGGGAACUGCCAGUCUCAUUGUUCGUGCACCAAUCACCCCUAUUGUUUUACCUAUUGUCCACUCUGGUUUUGAGAAGGUCAUGCCCGAGAAAUCAUUCUUUGGAAGGCGGCCCCCGGUACCUCUAUGUAACAAAAACAUCAGGAUUGUAGUCGGUGAACCAAUCGAGUUUGACCUAGGAAGGCUAAAGCAGGAAGCUAGGAAAGUUACUCAAGAUGCACCUUUCCAUAGUUUAGGAUGGCCAAAAACUUCUGCAGAUGGCCUGGGAGAGGCUUCACAGCGAUGGUUAUACAAUAACAUAUCCGAUAGGAUUCAAAGAGUGAUGGAGAAGUUACGGACCAUUAAACUCCCGGCUUUAGAAAACUCGAGAUAAUAAAAUUUUCACUAUAGUUCCAGAUUUAGGAUCUCUCAUAUUGAUCCUUAUUCUUUUAAAUGCUAUAUGUAUAAACAUUCAUAUUUCCUCAUUUUUGUCUAAUUUUCUUAGACAUUCAAUCAAUAUCCUGGAGUUUCUAUUUUACAAUUCUUUGCAAUUGCUUUAAUGAACCUAUAUUGUUGACUAAAUCAUUCAUAACAAAAUGACAAGCGUCUGAGACAUCUUCUCUGCCUUCUGGGAACAUUAGCACAUGCCCUGCAAGCAUCAUCAAUUCAUCCAUUCAGAAUGAGUAUGACAAAGGGAGGAGCCCACCAGCCACUCAGGUUUAAAAGGAGGUACCUGGCUGUUGUUUCUUUCUC